CCUACGGGAGGCAGCAGUGGGGAAUAUUGCACAAUGGGCGAGACACUGAUGCAGCGAAGCCGCGUGAGUGAAGAAGGAUUUGAGUAUGUAAAACUCUAUCAGCAGGGGAGAAAAUGCCGGUACCUGUUUAAGAAGCACCGGCUAACUACGUGCAAGCAGCGGCGGUAAUACGGAGGGAGCAGGCGUAAUCCGGAUUUACUGGGUGUAAAGGGGGCGUAGACGGCAGCAUAAGUCUGGAGUGAAAUGCCGGGGCGUAACCCCGGAACUGCUUUUGAAACUGGGAAGCGAGAGUGGAGGAGAGGUAAGUGGAAUUCGUGGUGUAGCGGUGAAAUGCGUAGAUAUGAGGAAGAACACCAGUGGCGAAGGCGGCUUACCGGA
This 378-nucleotide ribosomal RNA is filed under the name uncultured bacterium. Its description in RNAcentral is "partial 16S ribosomal RNA". It matches the Rfam family "Bacterial small subunit ribosomal RNA", at positions 338 to 733 of the family's 1533-position model. The record is from RNAcentral.